AUGCCUUGAAGCCAUAGCCUCGGCAAGAAAGUAGAUGGUGAACAGAGAUAGGGCUUGGAGCUUGUGGUUACUGCCUACCAGACCCGCUCUCCAGGCAGGAAACAGAGGGCCUCAAAGUCCUGCUCAUCCUGUGUGGACAAAGGCUGUCAUUCCAAGGAUUCUCAGCCAUGGCUGGGUCCUACUGGGUUUGGGCUCUUCAUCAGCGGCACUCAGGAGAGAUCAGAACAGUAUAAACAUCCAACAGAUGGCCGCACUGAGACAAACCUUCAACAGGAGAGUUUGGGAUCUGAAAGAUGAGGCCUGGGAAAGAGGGUCCCACCCUGCCCCUCCUCUGCUGAGCUCAGGGGUGCUAGCCCCCUUGGUCAGCCUUCCUCUAUGGUAUACCUCUUAUACGCCAUAUUGAGGUGACAUGAGCCAAACGCACCCACCCUCCAGGAAGGCACAGUUGAUCAAAGACUCAUCUAGAUGAGCAUCAAAUUCAACCGAUCAGUAGAUGAGUAGCCUGGGGUGCUGAACAAGUCCCCACUAGUCAAAUGAGUGACAGUCCUGAGCAGGUCAAGCAGGGAGCAGCGCGUGUGGAUACCCAGAUGGGGGAAGGAAGCCAGUGUUCAUAUUCCUUCUCAGAAGGAAUAUCGGGGCUGGGGAUUUGGCUCAGUGGUAGAGCGCUUGCCUAGCAAGCACAAGGCCCUGGGUUCGGUCCCCAGCUCCGAAAAAAAGAAAAAAAAAAAAAAAAAAGAAGGAAUAUCACCUGGCCUUCUGCAGCCACCUGCCCUCUCUGUGAGGUCAUGGAAGGCAUAGCCUUGGCAAGAAAGAGGAUGGUGAACAGAGAGGGGCCCGUGACGCUCCCUGCUGUUUCUGCUCUCUGUGAGGCCCCCAGGGCCCCACUCUUGUCUUAUCUGUGACUCUUAGCUCAGUUAGGAUUCUUCAGAGGGCAUCUAAGUGUUGACAGCAUCCCUUUAGUGAUGUCUGGUUCUGUCAUAUGGUGGCAGGGCCUAGGACCUACGGGAAGAAAGAGAGCCCAUCCCUUGUUUGACUCUCCUCAUUUUAUCCAGACGG
RNAcentral lists this long non-coding RNA (1056 nucleotides) under Rattus norvegicus (Norway rat). RNAcentral's name for it is "long non-coding RNA NONRATT018845". The stretch from base 641 to 709 matches the Rfam family "tRNA". The record is from RNAcentral. Lineage: Eukaryota; Metazoa; Chordata; Mammalia; Rodentia; Muridae.